This 468-nucleotide ribosomal RNA is filed under the name uncultured bacterium. RNAcentral's name for it is "partial 16S ribosomal RNA". It matches the Rfam family "Bacterial small subunit ribosomal RNA", at positions 28 to 507 of the family's 1533-position model. The record is from RNAcentral.
GACGAACGCUGGCGGCGUGCUUAACACAUGCAAGUCGAACGGAAAGGCCCUGCUUUUGUGGGGUGCUCGAGUGGCGAACGGGUGAGUAACACGUGAGUAACCUGCCCUUGACUUUGGGAUAACUUCAGGAAACUGGGGCUAAUACCGGAUAGGAGCUCCUGCUGCAUGGUGGGGGUUGGAAAGUUUCGGCGGUUGGGGAUGGACUCGCGGCUUAUCAGCUUGUUGGUGGGGUAGUGGCUUACCAAGGCUUUGACGGGUAGCCGGCCCGAGAGGGUGACCGGCCACAUUGGGACUGAGAGACGGCCCAGAAUCCUACGGGAGGCAGCAGUGGGGAAUAUUGCACAAUGGGCGGAAGCCUGAUGCAGCAACGCCGCGUGCGGGAUGACGGCCUUCGGGUUGUAAACCGCUUUCGCCUGUGACGAAGCGUGAGUGACGGUAAUGGGUAAAGAAGCACCGGCUAACUACGUG